Molecule: long non-coding RNA, 628 nt
Organism: Microcebus murinus (gray mouse lemur)
Lineage: Eukaryota; Metazoa; Chordata; Mammalia; Primates; Cheirogaleidae
Source: RefSeq, a predicted model, not a curated record
GGGGCCCCACGAGCCCCAGUGGAGACAGCGCGUGGCUCUGCCUGCCAAGGCCACCGGGAACUGGCCAUUCAUCCGUUUAUCCGCCACCCAGGCGCCAGGCCCUGAGCUGGAUGCGCGGAUGCGGUGGCCGGUAAGGCUGAGGGGCCCUGCUGCAAGGUCGUGCUGCAGAGGGGCAGAGAGGAGCGGGCGCCCCACCGAGUCCGAGUCCCCAGUCGGGGUGCCUUCCCGGAAGCUGACCGACUGCAGGCCGCAAGGAGGCUUUAAACAGCUCCACCCUCAAGACUCUGCCACGGUAUCUUCUCCUCCCGGAAGGACCCUGCCGUAUUCAUUUUUAUUGUGACUACUGCCCUUGCUCCCCUCUCCGAGUGGCUGGAAGAACCCGACACCUCCAUGAGAGUGCGAAGCGUGGUAGGACCAGGCGGGACUGCUGCGCGCCUUCCAGAAGAACGUCCCACAAACAGCGAGCCCGCCAGCUGGCUUCGUGUGGGCCCUGCUUUCGUGCUGCUUUUAGAAUGCCGGGGAUUUAUGGCCACAAAUGAUUUGUAGCGACCCAGGGGAAACCAUUGAGGGAUUAAUCUAAUUAAACAAGGACAAAAGAAUAAAUACAGACUGGGUUGUGACAAAACAA